UACGAAGGGGGCUAGCGUUGUUCGGAAUUACUGGGCGUAAAGCGCACGUAGGCGGAUAUUUAAGUCAGGGGUGAAAUCCCAGAGCUCAACUCUGGAACUGCCUUUGAUACUGGGUAUCUUGAGUAUGGAAGAGGUAAGUGGAAUUGCGAGUGUAGAGGUGAAAUUCGUAGAUAUUCGCAGGAACACCAGUGGCGAAGGCGGCUUACUGGUCCAUUACUGACGCUGAGGUGCGAAAGCGUGGGGAGCAAACAG
RNAcentral lists this ribosomal RNA (252 nucleotides) under uncultured bacterium. RNAcentral's name for it is "partial 16S ribosomal RNA". It matches the Rfam family "Bacterial small subunit ribosomal RNA", at positions 524 to 775 of the family's 1533-position model. The record is from RNAcentral.